CCUACGGGGGGCAGCAGUGAGGAAUAUUGGUCAAUGGGCGCGAGCCUGAACCAGCCAAGCCGCGUGAGGGAAGACGGUACUGCGUAUUGUAAACCUCUUUUGUCAGGGAACAAAGGCGGGGACUAGUCCCCGGUUGAGGGUACUUGAAGAAAAAGCAUCGGCUAACUCCGUGCCAGCAGCCGCGGUAAUACGGAGGAUGCGAGCGUUAUCCGGAUUUAUUGGGUUUAAAGGGUGCGCAGGCGGCCUGUUAAGUCAGCGGUAAAAUCCCGGGGCUCAACCCCGGCGAGCCGUUGAAACUGGCGGUCUGGAGUGGGAGAGAAGUACGCGGAAUGCGCGGUGUAGCGGUGAAAUGCUUAGAUAUCGCGCAGAACCCCGAUUGCGAAGGCAGCAUACCGGCUCCACACUGACGCUGAGGCACGAAAGCGUGGGUAUCGAACAGGAUUAGAUACCCCGGUAGUC
RNAcentral lists this ribosomal RNA (459 nucleotides) under uncultured bacterium. Its description in RNAcentral is "partial 16S ribosomal RNA". It matches the Rfam family "Bacterial small subunit ribosomal RNA", at positions 338 to 795 of the family's 1533-position model. The record is from RNAcentral.